Molecule: unclassified non-coding RNA, 252 nt
Filed under: Hevea brasiliensis (rubber tree)
Lineage: Eukaryota; Viridiplantae; Streptophyta; Magnoliopsida; Malpighiales; Euphorbiaceae
Source: RNAcentral
GAUGUGACACAGGCGGUGCUCCUCCCGCAGCUGACAUGGAGGCGUCAGGAGCGGGCGGAGGCGGUCGGGCCUUGGAAGGCCAAGGUUUACGAUAUGCAUAAUGUGGUGGUGAGUGUGAAGUCGCGGCGUGUGCCUGGUGCCAUGACAGAUGAUGAGUUCUUCGCUUCUUGCAAUGUGAAUGAUGGAGAGAGCGAGUCCGAGGACAUUUUGAGUGCGGAUGAGCGGAGACAGUUGGAAGCGACGUUGAAGUUG